This 74-nucleotide transfer RNA is filed under the name Alligator mississippiensis (American alligator). It matches the Rfam family "tRNA". Rfam says of the family: Transfer RNA (tRNA) molecules are approximately 80 nucleotides in length. Their secondary structure includes four short double-helical elements and three loops (D, anti-codon, and T loops). Lineage: Eukaryota; Metazoa; Chordata; Crocodylia; Alligatoridae. The record is from Rfam by way of RNAcentral.
CAACAAGAAGAUGAAUGGUAGGCUGGUCACUUUCCUGGGAAGUAAGAGUCAGGAGUUCAAACCCCUCUAGUUGA